AUGGCUUCCUUUCCGGUUUGGAAAGAUGGUGCGGUGGCGACUCGGGCUCAGCCAUAUGGACUGGACGCGACUGCUGCCCAUCCCGACUGCGCGCCAUCCUCAUCCAGAGUACAACUCCUCCCGCGGUUUUGUCAUCUACACGAACCGCAACAGCCGAUCAAAGCUCAACCUCUCUCCCUUAAAAAAAGGUUCAAUUGUGAUAGUUCGCAGCCGUUGAAAUUCGAAGUCAGGUUGCUGCCACCGUGGAGUCAUCGAUGCCUAUGCAGAGAGUUUAACUGCCUCGCCUGCCAGGCUUUGCAUACUAUUCGUGCUGUUCUUGACUAUGAAUGGAAUGCUAUGGAUCCUGCCUGCUCUAUUAUUAGGAUGGUUCAUCUAUAA
This 378-nucleotide ribosomal RNA is filed under the name Triticum aestivum (bread wheat). Its description in RNAcentral is "partial small subunit ribosomal RNA". The record is from RNAcentral. Lineage: Eukaryota; Viridiplantae; Streptophyta; Magnoliopsida; Poales; Poaceae.